CAGCCUACGGGAGGCAGCAGUGGGGAAUAUUGCGCAAUGGGGGAAACCCUGACGCAGCAACGCCGCGUGCGGGAUGAAGGCCUUCGGGUUGUAAACCGCUUUCAGCAGGGAAGAUCCAAGACGGUACCUGCAGAAGAAGCCCCGGCUAACUACGUGCCAGCAGCCGCGGUAAUACGUAGGGGGCAAGCGUUAUCCGGAGUCAUUGGGCGUAAAGCGCGCGCAGGCGGGUUGCUAAGCGGGCACUCUCAUCUC
Molecule: ribosomal RNA, 252 nt
Filed under: uncultured bacterium
Lineage: Bacteria
Description: partial 16S ribosomal RNA
Rfam family: Bacterial small subunit ribosomal RNA
Source: RNAcentral